Molecule: RNA transcript, 1560 nt
Organism: Brassica oleracea var. oleracea
Lineage: Eukaryota; Viridiplantae; Streptophyta; Magnoliopsida; Brassicales; Brassicaceae
Exons: 2
Source: RefSeq, a predicted model, not a curated record
CUUGAUCAUUUUCAAGAAAGUACAUUCUAGUAUACAAUCGCCUCUAUUUCGUGGCUUGAAAGAGACUAACUCUUAAACUUUUUUUUUUGGUUUAAUAUAACUCUAAACUAUUCAUGCUUAUAUAUUUUGAUAAGCUGUUGUUUGAGACAUUGGAAGCAAUUCCAGUCAAGGCGUUAUGCUUUCAUAAGCUUGUUAGAGCUGGUACUUCAAGUAGUGAUUUCCUUUCUUGUAUUGUUGAAUGAUAUUUGCUUCAUAUCGGACAUAUAAAGCGCUGUCCAUAAACGAAUCCAUACAUCAUCUCGAGUCUAAUCAAAGCCAGAUACUGGAGGUCGUUUUUUCAAUAGAUCGGUUGCUCUUCAUCACCGAGUUGGAGGCACGAGGCUCAGGCUCAUCCCUUUUACAGAAGAUCUCGAGCUUGGAGCGGUGGAACGACGUUUUCUAGGCUGAAGAGAAGAGGGGCGGUGGUUACUGGUGGUCGGAGUUAUCUUGGGGUCGAGACGAACACGGCGCCUUUCGUCUAAACCCGAGUGAACUUGGACGGCUCUGCUCCUUCGAAGACGUGAACAGAGUCCAUCGGGGCUGUCGUGUGGUAGUCAGAUUGGCUCUAGUAUGGCAUGUUCUUUGCCUCCCUGCUGCCGUAAAGACAACCUUGUCCACGAAUCUUUGUCCACACAACCUUAAGUGACAACAUCGUUUUCUCCGUCGUUGUCUUGUCCAUGGAUGACUUCAAGAGAUGUAACAAUCAAAGGUUGAAGACGGGACUGUUUGACGAAACAAAACAGAGUCUCCCCUGUCACCCUCAUGGUUGUGGAGCCUCUCAAUUCUGCAAUUCAGAUUUAUUAAUGUGAGGAAGACGUUUGUUGUUGGAGAAGGACAAGACAUCAAGAAGGAGCUUGUUGUUGCUGGAGGGAUUAUCCUUUUCUUCACAAGGAAGAACUUCAAUAUCAGGAAGAAACGAUCACGUACGGUAAUUAAAAAGAUAGUUUCUUAUCAGUUAUGUGAUUAGCUUUUGUUUUCGAAGUUGGAACCUUUAGUCGUGUGGUGUUUGAUUGGGUACGUAUGUGUUGAUGUUCUUUAUCAAAGCUUAAAGAUUUUAUCGUUUGGGGAGAUGAAACGUGUGUGUUGCUUGAUGUGUCUUUUCUAAUUUAAGAGCUUUUGUCUUAUAGUGGCUUUAGUUUUCUUUCUUUGAUUGAGAUCCCUAUGGACUGAUCAGACUUCUAGUUCUGGUAGUCCUAAAUGAAUUUGAAGAGGCUUAUCUCUUGUAAAGUUUCGUAGGGUUGUGAACUUUUUGCAGGGGUUUGUGAGGGGUGAUAGCUCUGGUGGUAACAUCGCACAUAAUGUAGCGGUAAGAAUCGGGGACUGAUCUUUUGGGAACAUAUUGUUUAAUCCUAUGUUUGAUAACGGAGUCUGAGACACAUUUGUAUGGGAAGUACUGUGAUUGUGAGAGACCACUGCUACAUGAAAGGAAGCUUUGAAUUUUUGUAUGAGUUGUCCACAAAAUUCUGUCCACAAAAUUUUGUAUAUAAAUUUUGUAGGAUUGAGAUUUUUGUUCACCAUACC